Molecule: long non-coding RNA, 227 nt
Filed under: Phoenix dactylifera (date palm)
Lineage: Eukaryota; Viridiplantae; Streptophyta; Magnoliopsida; Arecales; Arecaceae
Description: long non-coding RNA (PDAC_LNC003659)
Source: RNAcentral
GCCUAGCUACUGGCUUGCCGCUGAACCUUUAAUUCAUAACAAAUUUCUAAGGUAGGUAGCUCUUGGCUGAAACUAUCUACCACAAAACCUAAAUUGACAGAGAGAGCACGGAAGGAGACCUAAUCAUAUUUUGUAAAUUGUCCCGCAGUUUAUGCCCAUGGCGAAUAAAGAUCUGAUCCUAAACAAUAGGAAGAAGACUAAAUGAACGUGACCACAGUUUAAACCCA